RNAcentral lists this ribosomal RNA (2269 nucleotides) under human gut metagenome. RNAcentral's name for it is "bacterial LSU rRNA". It matches the Rfam family "Bacterial large subunit ribosomal RNA", at positions 1 to 2309 of the family's 2925-position model. The record is from RNAcentral.
GAAAGUAAGUAAGGGCGUAUGGGGGAUGCCUAGGCUCUUGGAGGCUAAGAAGGACGUGGUAAGCUGCGAAAAGCUGCGGGGAUUUGCAAACGAGACUCGAUCCGCAGAUAUCCGAAUGGGACAACCCGGCAGGUAGAAGACCUGUCACACCGCGAGGUGAGCUAACCCUCUGAACUGAAACAUCUAAGUAGGAGGAGGAAAAGAAAGAAACAUCGAUUUCCAAAGUAGCGGCGAGCGAAAUGGAAGAAGCCCAAACCGAUAUUGUUACGGCAAUAUCGGGGUUGUAGGACUGCAAUAUUCAAUUAACAAUGAACUGGAAUGGUCUGGAAAGUCCAUCCAUAGAGAGUGAAAGGCUCGUACAGGUAAGUUUGUUAUGCGAAAGCAGUAUCCUGAGUAUGGCGGGACACGAGGAAUCCUGUCAGAAUCAGCCGGGACCACCCGGUAAGGCUAAAUACUCCCAAGAGACCGAUAGUGGACCAGUACUGUGAAGGAAAGGUGAAAAGAACCCCGAACAGGGGAGUGAAAUAGAACCUGAAACCAUACGCUUACAACCGGUCGGAGCAGCUUCGUGCUGUGACGGCGUGCCUAUUGAAUAAUGAGCCUACGAGUUACUAAUCACUAGCGAGGUUAAGUGCAAGGAUGCACGGAGCCGAAGCGAAAGCGAGUCUGAACAGGGCGUUUAGUUAGUGGUUGUAGACGCGAAACCUUGCGAUCUACCCUUGAGCAGGUUGAAGGUUGGGUAAAACCAACUGGAGGACCGAACGAAUAAGCGUUGAAAAGCUUCUCGAUGACUUGAGGGUAGGGGUGAAAGGCUAAUCAAGCUGGGAAAUAGCUCGUACUCCCCGAAAUGCCUUUUGGGGCAGCGUUGUAAUAAAGAGUCUACUGGAGGUAGAGCUACUGAUUGGAUGCGGGGGCUUCACCGCCUACCAAAUCCUGACAAACUCCGAAUGCCAGUAGUAUGAUUUACAGCAGUGAGUGACUGGGUGCUAAUGUCCAGUCGCAAAAGAGGAACAACUCAGACCAGCAACUAAGGUCCCGAAGAAUAUGCUAAGUUGAUCUAACGAUGUUUUGUUGCAGAGACAGCUAGGAUGUUAGCUUGGAAGCAGCUAUUCAUUCAAAGAGUGCGUAACAGCUCACUAGUCGAGCGACAGAGCGUGGAUAAUAAACGGGCAUCAAGCAUAUCACCGAAGUUCUGGGCGCGAGAGCGCGGUAGGGGAGCAUUCCAUUCAGCGUCGAAGCAGUUUCGUGAGGAAUUGUGGAGCGUAUGGAAAAGCAAAUGUAGGCAUGAGUAACGAUAAUGCGGGAGAGUAACCCGCACACCGCAAGACCAAGGUUUCCUGAUCAACGCUAAUCGGAUCAGGGUUAGUCGGGUCCUAAGGGUAAGCCGAACGGCGAUCUCGAUGGAUAAUCGGUUAAUAUUCCGAUACUAACAUAUACCUCGAUGGAGAGACGAAGGAACGUAAGUGCCGCCACCUGACGGAAUAGGUGGUUAAAGGGCGUAGGUAUAGGGGCAGAUUAAGAGUUAGUCCUUGCUGAAACCUGACAGUACAGAGAGCCUACGGGCAAUUUGAUAGAGCACCCAAGUCGACUUCCGAGAAAAUCUUCUAAGUUAUAGUAUAUGUUACCCGUACCGUAAACCGACACAGGUGGUCGAGGAGAGUAUCCUAAGGUGCUCGAGUGAAUCACGGUUAAGGAACUAGGCAAAUUAACCCCGUAACUUCGGGAAAAGGGGUCCCUAUGAAAGUAGGGCGCAGCGAAGAGGUCCAGGCGACUGUUUAUCAAAAACACAGGGCUCUGCAAAUUCGAAAGAAGACGUAUAGGGCCUGACACCUGCCCGGUGCUGGAAGGUUAAGAGGGGAUGUCAUCGCAAGAGAAGCAUUGAAUCGAAGCCCCAGUAAACGGCGGCCGUAACUAUAACGGUCCUAAGGUAGCGAAAUUCCUUGUCGGGUAAGUUCCGACCUGCACGAAUGGUGUAACGAUCUGGACACUGUCUCAACCGUGAGCUCGGUGAAAUUGUAGUCCCGGUGAUGAUGCCGGGUACCCGCAACGGGACGAAAAGACCCCGUGAACCUUUACUAUAGCUUAACGCUGAAUUUGGGUACACAAUGUGUAGGAUAGGCCGGAGGCUUUGAAGCGGGCACGCCAGUGUUCGUGGAGCCGACGUUGAAAUACGGCCCUUUGUGUAUUUGAGUUCUAACCCUGCGAAGGGGACACCGUUUGGUGGGUAGUUUGACUGGGGUGGUCGCCUCCAAAAGCGUAACGGAGGCUU